GAGCUUGCUCCAGGGGAUUAGUGGCGAACGGGUGAGUAACACGUGAGUAACCUGCCCUUGACUCUGGGAUAACCUCCGGAAACGGAAGCUAAUACCGGAUACGACGCACGGAGGCAUCUCCUGUGCGUGGAAAGAACUUCGGUCAAGGAUGGACUCGCGGCCUAUCAGGUAGUUGGUGAGGUAACGGCUCACCAAGCCUACGACGGGUAGCCGGCCUGAGAGGGUGACCGGCCACACUGGGACUGAGACACGGCCCAGACUCCUACGGGAGGCAGCAGUGGGGAAUAUUGCACAAUGGGCGCAAGCCUGAUGCAGCAACGCCGCGUGAGGGAUGACGGCCUUCGGGUUGUAAACCUCUUUUAGUAGGGAAGAAGCGAAAGUGACGGUACCUGCAGAAAAAGCACCGGCUAACUACGUGCCAGCAGCCGCGGUAAUACGUAGGGUGCGAGCGUUGUCCGGAAUUAUUGGGCGUAAAGAGCUCGUAGGCGGUCUGUCGCGUCUGCUGUGAAAACCCGAGGCUCAACCUCGGGCCUGCAGUGGGUACGGGCAGACUAGAGUGCGGUAGGGGAGAAUGGAAUUCCUGGUGUAGCGGUGGAAUGCGCAGAUAUCAGGAGGAACACCGAUGGCGAAGGCAGUUCUCUGGGCCGUAACUGACGCUGAGGAGCGAAAGCGUGGGGAGCGAACAGGAUUAGAUACCCUGGUAGUCCACGCCGUAAACGUUGGGCGCUAG
Molecule: ribosomal RNA, 730 nt
Filed under: bacterium SCSIO13301
Lineage: Bacteria
Description: bacterial SSU rRNA
Rfam family: Bacterial small subunit ribosomal RNA
Source: RNAcentral